AGUGAACGCUGGCGGUAGGCCUAACACAUGCAAGUCGAACGGCAGCACAGUAAGAGCUUGCUCUUACGGGUGGCGAGUGGCGGACGGGUGAGGAAUACAUCGGAAUCUACUUUUUCGUGGGGGAUAACGUAGGGAAACUUGCGCUAAUACCGCAUACGACCUACGGGUGAAAGCAGGGGAUCUUCGGACCCUGCGCGAUUGAAUGAGCCGAUGUCGGAUUAGCUAGUUGGCGGGGUAAAGGCCCACCAAGGCGACGAUCCGUAGCUGGUCUGAGAGGAUGAUCUGCCACACUGGAACUGAGACACGGUCCAGACUCCUACGGGAGGCAGCAGUGGGGAAUAUUGGACAAUGGGCGCAAGCCUGAUCCAGCCAUACCGCGUGGGUGAAGAAGGCCUUCGGGUUGUAAAGCCCUUUUGUUGGGAAAGAAAAGCAGCAGGUUAAUACCCCGCUGUUCUGACGGUACCCAAAGAAUAAGCACCGGCUAACUUCGUG
This 492-nucleotide ribosomal RNA is filed under the name uncultured bacterium. Its description in RNAcentral is "partial 16S ribosomal RNA". It matches the Rfam family "Bacterial small subunit ribosomal RNA", at positions 29 to 507 of the family's 1533-position model. The record is from RNAcentral.